UGGGGAAUUUUGGACAAUGGGCGAAAGCCUGAUCCAGCAAUGCCGCGUGUGUGAAGAAGGCCUUCGGGUUGUAAAGCACUUUUGUCCGGAAAGAAAUCCUUGGCUCUAAUACAGUCGGGGGAUGACGGUACCGGAAGAAUAAGCACCGGCUAACUACGUGCCAGCAGCCGCGGUAAUACGUAGGGUGCAAGCGUUAAUCGGAAUUACUGGGCGUAAAGCGUGCGCAGGCGGUUUGCUAAGACCGAUGUGAAAUCCCCGGGCUCAACCUGGGAACUGCUUGGUGACUGGCAGGCUAGAGUAUGGCAGAGGGGGGUAGAAUUCCACGUGUAGCAAGUGAAAUGCGUAGGAGAUGUGGAGGAAUACCGAUGGCGAAGGCAGCCCCCUGGGCCAAUACUGACGCUCAUGCACGAAAGCGUGGGGAGCAAAACAGGAUUAGAUACCCUGGUAGUCCACGCCCUAAAACGAUGUCAACUAGUUGUUGGGGAUUCAUUUCCUUAGUAACGUAGCUAACGCGUGAAGUUGACCGCCUGGGGAGUACGGUCGC
This 544-nucleotide ribosomal RNA is filed under the name uncultured bacterium. Its description in RNAcentral is "partial 16S ribosomal RNA". It matches the Rfam family "Bacterial small subunit ribosomal RNA", at positions 355 to 889 of the family's 1533-position model. The record is from RNAcentral.